AACCCACAGCUCUCAGAAAUCCAAGGCUUCCACCAAAAGAGAUGCAUUAGAGAAGACACUUGAAAAGUAGGAUGGAAGUGAUUGCAACUGCUUUUUGCAAGAUCUACUGGCAGCAAAUGCCCUGAAGACGGUGUUUUAAAGAAUGUUGAAAAGAAACGAGGGAAUACAAAGCUGAGAUUUAAUGGCAUUAAAAAAAAGGUGAAUCAUGGUAUUACCUACAUCUUGAAAGGAGUCCAUAAACAGUUGAGAAACAGUCCCAUCUCUCAAAAGAACUAAAUGUUCCCUUAGGAAUUCACAUACCAGCUGGCACUAACCCCAUGUGCCUUGGGGACAUAGGCUAUACUUCUAGAGCCUCUUUUUUUUCUUCUUACAUCUGGCAUUAAACCAAUAAGAACAGAUUUAGUUUAUUAGUAUAUGUUAAAAGGAAGUUAAAGUUGA
This 438-nucleotide long non-coding RNA is filed under the name Crocodylus porosus (Australian saltwater crocodile). Its description in RNAcentral is "lncRNA (ENSCPRG00005016861.1)". Lineage: Eukaryota; Metazoa; Chordata; Crocodylia; Crocodylidae. The record is from RNAcentral.